Molecule: long non-coding RNA, 869 nt
Filed under: Mytilus galloprovincialis (Mediterranean mussel)
Lineage: Eukaryota; Metazoa; Mollusca; Bivalvia; Mytilida; Mytilidae
Source: RNAcentral
CCUGCCUCCAAAUUGAAAAGCUACGAAAAUUUCUUUUUCUAAUUUGAAAUUGCCGCCAACAGCAUGAACAGUUGAAUUAUAUAAUAGACUACUGACGUAGUUGUACUACGUAUUGAUGACAAACAAUAUUCCUACGACUUUUGUCAUUUGGGAAAUCUAAACUGCUUGUCUUAAGAGAUUUUCGGCGAUUAAAUAUUUCAUACAAUUGUUCUUUGACAUCUUAGCUAAAAGCACAAGUCAUAAUGAACUACACAAGGAUUUUUAAUAAGCACUACUUCCUAUGUGUAACUUUAAAACUUUUGGAUAAAUCGACGAUCAUUUAAGGUUUUUCUGGUCAUUUUUUUUGUAAUCCAGAAUAAAAAGUAUUAAAAAAGUGUUCAAUUAGUUAUAUAUAACAUAGUAACAAGCUAGAUAAUAACAAUGGCAAGUAUUUCAGGAUUUAUUGGGUAGAACACAAAUCUAGGGUGCUCGCAUAAUGCAGCUUACUGCAUAAAAAUUGGAACCAGUGCAAUGCCAGCUGGAAUAAGCUGAUAACACCAGAAAAUCAGUUCAUGUAUCUCUAGUGUAAAAAAUAAAAAUCCAAAUAUUGAAACUAGUGAAAAAACACAAUAAAGAAAACAUAAAGUCAGCAUCUUCUCAGACUUCUGAUUGUCUUGUACACAGGCUCAGUACAGUCCAACACGUCUCUGACAUACAUGUCAUAGCAGUCUACUCCAUUUGUUUCUUUUCGAACUUUCUCGCUCAGUAUUCAAAUGCUCAGUUAUAAUUCUUUGCAGUUGAUUAGUUUUACGAAUAGCUUAGAUUUAUACAUCAACAUGCAGCAUUCGAAGUUUGUCAACAAAACAUAAAAUUGUAUAAAUUAAGUAUUC